RNAcentral lists this long non-coding RNA (346 nucleotides) under Gallus gallus (chicken). RNAcentral describes it as "lncRNA (ENSGALG00010006943.1)". The record is from RNAcentral. Lineage: Eukaryota; Metazoa; Chordata; Aves; Galliformes; Phasianidae.
CUGCCCCUUUUCUCAGCAUUGUCUUAACAGAAGAACAAAAGGAAACGUUCAAAUACAUACCCUGGGUGAACCUAACAGGAUGCAAGAGGCCAUCUGAGCUGCACUCUUCAAACCCACAGGAAACCCUCCUCUACUAUGUCCCGAGAACAAAGCCUCCUCCAGUCAUGUUGAUAAGAUGGAUCUUGUUGUACAGCCUUCUAGUAAGGCUGGCUCAGAGCAACAAUCAAGAUUCUGGAAAAGUUGCAGCAGAAACAGCAACACCAGAAUUUAUGGCUACAAUCUGCUAUCAGGCACAGUAUUUUCCCAGCUUCCACGAUACAGAUUUCAUUUGAGGCAAGAAGAGCAG